GUUAGGCGCAUAUAUGGAGGCAAAGUUGUAGCGCCUGUCUGCAAUGGAGCCCUUGAGGAAGAUGUAGCGUCCCAGUGGGUCGGCCUUGAUCUCCGCACACACGAAGGGGACAUGCGCGGCGAAGAGAAUGGCCACUCCUGCCUUCUUGGCUUCCCUAUGAUUAGCAAAAUAGCCAGUGGGGAACCGUCGGUCUCGGAGGGCCGGUCCCGUCUGUCCGCGGAAGUGUGUCUCCUGGAUGAAGGCCACGGAGAUUCUAUUGGACCAUAGUGCCUGUAGUAAAUGUGAUCUCC
Pelobates cultripes (western spadefoot toad) is the source of this 290-nucleotide non-coding RNA. NCBI's taxonomy places the organism in Eukaryota, Metazoa, Chordata, Amphibia, Anura, Pelobatidae. The record is from the annotation of a GenBank genome assembly.